This 317-nucleotide ribosomal RNA is filed under the name uncultured eukaryote. Its description in RNAcentral is "partial 18S ribosomal RNA". It matches the Rfam family "Eukaryotic small subunit ribosomal RNA", at positions 1470 to 1796 of the family's 1831-position model. The record is from RNAcentral.
CCCUUAGAUGUUCUGGGCCGCACGCGCGCUACACUGAUGCAUUCAACGAGUUUUUCCUGGUCCGAGAGGAAUGGGUAACCUUUUGAAAGUGCAUCGUGCUAGGGAUAGACUAUUGCAAUUAUUGGUCUUCAACGAGGAAUUCCUAGUAGACGUAGUUCAUCAGACUGCAUCGAUUACGUCCCUGCCCUUUGUACACACCGCCCGUCGCUCCUACCGAUUGGGUGCUCCGGUGAAUUGUUUGGACUGCGUAUUACGUAUCAGUGGUGUGCGGGAAGCUCUGUGAACCUUAGCACCUAGAGGAAGGAGAAGUCGUAACA